GUGGUCAUCACAGAACACUCCACACUCAGCAUGGAGAUGAGACUGAGCUGGGUUUUCCUUGUUGCUCUUUUGAAAGGUGUCCAAUGUGAGGUUCAGCUGGUGGAGUCUGGCAGAGGCUUGAUGCAGCCUAGAAAGUCCCUGAAACUCUACUGUGCAGCCUCUGGAUUCACCUUCAGUGACUACUGGAUGGACUGGGUUUGCCAGGUUCCUGGGAAGGGGCUGGAGUGGGUUGCACAAAUUGGAAACAAGGGUUACAAUUAUGUAACAUACUAUGGGGAGUCAGUGAGUGGCAGAUUCACCAUCUCAAGAGAUGACUCCAAAAGCAGUCUCUACCUGCAAAUGAACAGCUUAAGAGCCGAGGACACCGCCAUUUAUUACUGUACUAGAGACACACAGUGA
Molecule: non-coding RNA, 399 nt
Organism: Cricetulus griseus (Chinese hamster)
Lineage: Eukaryota; Metazoa; Chordata; Mammalia; Rodentia; Cricetidae
Source: the annotation of a RefSeq genome assembly